RNAcentral lists this ribosomal RNA (250 nucleotides) under uncultured bacterium. RNAcentral's name for it is "partial 16S ribosomal RNA". It matches the Rfam family "Bacterial small subunit ribosomal RNA", at positions 524 to 773 of the family's 1533-position model. The record is from RNAcentral. RNAcentral also lists the same sequence under 1 other name.
UACGAAGGGUGCAAGCGUUACUCGGAAUUACUGGGCGUAAAGCGUGCGUAGGUGGUUCGUUAAGUCUGAUGUGAAAGCCCUGGGCUCAACCUGGGAAUUGCAUUGGAUACUGGCGGGCUAGAGUACGGUAGAGGGUGGCGGAAUUCCUGGUGUAGCAGUGAAAUGCGUAGAUAUCAGGAGGAACAUCCGUGGCGAAGGCGGCCACCUGGACCAGUACUGACACUGAGGCACGAAAGCGUGGGGAGCAAAC